RNAcentral lists this non-coding RNA (45 nucleotides) under Schistosoma haematobium. Lineage: Eukaryota; Metazoa; Platyhelminthes; Trematoda; Strigeidida; Schistosomatidae. The record is from RNAcentral.
ACUCAGCUGAUGAGUUCCAAAUAGGACGAAACGCGCGUCCUGGAU